UACAGAGACUGCAAGCGUUAUUCGGAUUCACUGGGCGUAAAGGGUGCGCAGGCGGCCGUGUGUGUGAGGCGUGAAAGCCCGGAGCUCAACUCCGGAAUUGCACCUCAAACUACACGGCUAGAGCAUUGGAGAGGGUAGCGGAAUUCACGGUGUAGCAGUGAAAUGCGUAGAUAUCGUGAGGAACACCAGAGGCGAAGGCGGCUACCUGGACAAUUGCUGACGCUCAGACACGAAAGCGUGGGGAGCAAAAGGG
RNAcentral lists this ribosomal RNA (253 nucleotides) under uncultured bacterium. RNAcentral describes it as "partial 16S ribosomal RNA". It matches the Rfam family "Bacterial small subunit ribosomal RNA", at positions 524 to 776 of the family's 1533-position model. The record is from RNAcentral.